This 3140-nucleotide long non-coding RNA is filed under the name Equus caballus (horse). RNAcentral's name for it is "lncRNA (ENSECAG00000047755.1)". Lineage: Eukaryota; Metazoa; Chordata; Mammalia; Perissodactyla; Equidae. The record is from RNAcentral.
CCUCCCUUCUUCCCUUCCUCCCUCCCUCCCUUCCUCCCUUCCUCUCUUCCUCUCUCCCUCCCUACCCCCACCACGUGCACAGAAGAAAGACCAUGUUGAAGACACAGCUGGAAGGUGCCGUCUGCAAAUUAAGGACAGAGCCCUCACCAGAAGCCAAACCAGUCGGCAGCUUGUUCUUGGACCUCCAGCCUCCAGAACUAUGAGAAGACUGGAGCUCAGAGACGCUCAGAGAGUCGCCAGAGGUCACACAGUAAGAAGAGAACACCAAGUCAAUCCCAGAUUUUGAGAGCACUCUUUCCAGGACAACCCAGCAGCUCACACCUUAAACCAGCUCUGUCCUGGACAGUAUUGGUGCUCCACUCAGAUACACUCAGAUCCCUUUAUGCCAGGUCUGAGUGUCCCACCAUCUACCCCAGCCUCCCUGUCCAUCCACCACCACCUGACGGUCUCUGUGACUCUUCUUUGGAGCACCGCCCUUUUUUGGGGGGUUUUGCUUUUUCUUUUUUGCUGCUGCAGGCUCUCUGCUGGCCCUUCUGGAGGACCAGGAGCACCUGAGCAUUUCUCCCAGGCAGCCCUUCACUGGUGACUGUCGGGAGGGCAUGUAGGAAAGCCCAGCCCCUUUCCUAGGCGGGGACAACUUGGGGAUGUGACUUACACUCCAGGGCUCCCGGAGGGAUCGGGCUGAGGCCACCUUCCAUGGGAGUUUGCUGAAAUUGUGCCUCGUUUGGCUUCCUCCCCUUCCAUGUCCUGCCUCCCUCACCCACUUCCUCAUCCCCCCUGGGACACACAAGUCCUGUCUCAGGGUCUUCAUCUGGGAAACCCAACCCAAGACCGAGUCCCCCUGAAGAUGCGUGCCCUGCCACAAGGCUGGUCUUCUGCCCCGGGUCCUGGCACGGCGGGAGCCAGGCAGCACCCAGAGCGUGAAUGGAGAAUCACGCCUGGGGGACAUCCCAAAGGCAGCAGCUGCGUGGCUUUGGGGACAGCUGGGAGUGGGAGCAGGGAUGGACACUCCACAGCAACAGGGAUGAGGAGAAGAGAAUGAGGCUCUUUGGCCUUCUGUGACCUUCAUUAUUUUAUUGUUACACCGUUUAUAUAUGUUCAAAGUGCUACAAAAAUGCACCAAAAUGGCUCAAUGCAGAUUUUUUUAAAAAAAGAUCACCCACAGAUAAAAUUUUCACUGAGCAAGGUCUGACUGCCCAAUGCACAGAGAAGCUAAUACUACGGCACCAGCUUUUGAGAAAAGAAAUAAGCUUUAUUACAGGGUUGACCAGCAAGGACACAGGAAGAGGGGCUCUCAAAUUCUAUCUUCCCGAUCCAAGGUUUGGGGCAAAGUUUAAGGAGUUAGGGGUCACUGAGCCACAGCUGGGCCCACAUAAGCUGAUUGGCUGGUCUCGAAUCUGUCCGUAGAUGGCAAUCAAGCUGCUUGAGGUGCUGGAAGCCGGAUUUUCCUUACGGAAGGACUUCUAGCUUCUUCAAGGGCUCCAGUGGCAACAUUUCUGAAGAUUCUUGGUUCUGGGGUCACCCUGGGGCUACGGGAUCCCGCCUGGCACAUGCGCAGUGCCGUCUCUGUGAUCAAGCAAGGUUUGAUUCAUCAACGACCUGUUUUAAGGAAGCAAAACUAGUUUAAGCUGGUCAAGGUUUUAUGCGUUGUUUCAACAGCAGUCAACCCAUUGCCAGCCAGAUGAUGCGCACGUGUUGAAACAAAAACAGGCCCAUCCCGUACAGAGAGUAAGUGGUGUGUGGAAGAGGCAUUGGGAAUGUGGGCUCUAGAGCCAGGCUGCCAGGAUGUGGAUCUUGACUCCACACUUACUAGCUGUGUGACCUGGGGCAGAUAACUUCAUCCCUCUGUGCCUCGGUUUCCUCAUCUGCAAAGUGGAGAUGUUAAUAAUGUCUCCCUUGGAGGGUGGUCUCGACGGUUAAAUGAGUUCCUGCCUACAAAGCACUUAGAGCAGACCCUGGCAUAUACAAAGUUUGGUGAUAAUGUUUGCUGUCAUCAUCAUCAGAGCUGUUGUAACCAGAGGUCUUAACCCGGCAGCUUCUGGCAUGAUCCAGCCUGCAGAUGUGUUUUGUUUAGUUCAAAUAACAUUUUCCAAAUCUAUUCUGUUGCCAAAAUUUCAGAUUCGGGAGACUUGCCCUUAAAAGGCAGAUUUCUGGCUACUUGAAAAGCAGGACGAUUGGGCAACACUUGGCUCACAUAGUCAUGGAGUAAAAUCAGCCAGAGGUGGGUUGUGGCUGCACCCCAGCAGGGAGGCAGGGGCGCCCCACUGGCCGCUGCCCCGACAUGCCCCUGAGCUACAUGCUGAGUCCCACGGGCACUCAUGGCUGUGAGCUCUGUGCUUCUCAACACACAGUGAACGCGUCCUGGGAGCAACAUUGAUGCAGAUUUGAUGAGUCCUUGAUGCUCUGGCUCGUGGCUCCACCAUCACUUAUUUCACAGAAUUCUCAGCAUUGAACACAGGGGCCAUUUCAAGGUUCUCAUGUUGAUAAACAAGACUGUGAUAAACAUGCUGGGACCUACAGCUUUGGGCACUAGAAGAAGGUAGUUGGGAGGGCAAGAGCUGCAACAUGACAGACACCCACAGGUAGAAAGAUUUAAGAUGAGAAUAGAUCAAGAAAGAGAUCAAGUGGGGCUGGCCCGGUGGCACAGCGGUUAAGUGCGCACGUUCCGCUUCGGCAGCCCAGGGUUCGCCAGUUCAGAUCCUGUGUGCAGACAUGGCACCGCUUGUCAAGCCAUGCUGUGGUAGGCGUCCCAUGUAUAAAGUAGAGGAAGAUGGGCAUGGAUGUUAGCUCAGGGCCAGUCUUCCUCAGCAAAAACAGGAGGAUUGGCAGCAGAUGUUAUCUCAGGGCUAAUCUUCCUCAAAAAAAAAGAAAAGAAAACAAAGAGAUCAUGGAAUGAACUGUGAUGAGAAGCGGGCCUUCUCUUUCUGCAAUAGCAGUUUGGUUAUCUGCUUUAAAGAAUCAAAAUGCAUUGCACGGGACUGGCCCUGUGGCCGAGUGGUUAAGUUCGUGCGCUCCGCGGCAGACAGCCCAGUGUUUCGUUGGUUCGAAUCCUGGGCGCGGACAUGGCACUGCUCAUCAAACCACGCUGAGGCAGCGUCCCACAUGCCACAACUAGAAGGACCCACAGCGAAGAAUAUACA